Molecule: ribosomal RNA, 585 nt
Filed under: Triticum aestivum (bread wheat)
Lineage: Eukaryota; Viridiplantae; Streptophyta; Magnoliopsida; Poales; Poaceae
Description: partial small subunit ribosomal RNA
Source: RNAcentral
AAAUUUUGGUGGAGAAGUAAGGAGGGCCAUAGAAAACCCAACUGGGUUUCUUGGGAUACUCUGACAUGGCCCAAGUACAUGGGAGGUUUGGACUUCAAGGAUUUUGAUUUGUUCAAUUUGGCUUUGCUAGCAAAAGAGGCGUGGAGUGUAGUACAAAUGCCAGAUUCUCUCAGCACAAGAAUUUUAAAGGCUGCCUAUUUUCCUUGUUCAAUUCUUGAUGCAAACCUCGGUAACCAUCCUAGUCAGAUCUGGAGAGGAUCUGGAGAGGGGCAUGAUGUUCUAAAACAGGGAUUGAUUAGGAGAAUUGGCAACGGAGCAUCAACUAAUAUAUGGAGAGACAAAUGGACUCUGAGUGACGUGUUGAGUACCUUUGGAUGUAUGUCAGGCAAUCCUCCUAUAUAUGUGUCUGAACUCAUUGAUCAAACUUCAGCUAGAUGGGACAAGGAGAAAGUUGCCGAGGUUUGCCUACUGAUCGACGUGCCAGCCAUUCUCAGCAUACCUUUAUGUACAACAAAUAUUGAUCAUAGUUGGUCGUGGAAUUUUGAAAAAAAAGAAAAAAAUAUGUUCGAUCAGUCUAUAAGAUGA